Molecule: ribosomal RNA, 510 nt
Filed under: uncultured bacterium
Lineage: Bacteria
Description: partial 16S ribosomal RNA
Rfam family: Bacterial small subunit ribosomal RNA
Source: RNAcentral
GACGAACGCUGGCGGCGUGCUUAACACAUGCAAGUCGAACGAAGAGCGAUGGACGCUUGCUUCUCUCAAUCUUAGUGGCGAACGGGUGAGUAACGCGUAAUCAACCUGCCCUUCAGAGGGGGGCAACAGUUGGAAACGACUGCUAAUACCGCAUACGAUCUAACCUCGGCAUCGAGGAUAGAUGAAAGGUGGCCUCUACAUGUAAGCUAUCACUGAAGGAGGGGAUUGCGUCUGAUUAGCUAGUUGGAGGGGUAACGGCCCACCAAGGCGAUGAUCAGUAGCCGGUCUGAGAGGAUGAACGGCCACAUUGGGACUGAGACACGGCCCAGACUCCUACGGGAGGCAGCAGUGGGGAAUCUUCCGCAAUGGACGAAAGUCUGACGGAGCAACGCCGCGUGAGUGAUGACGGCCUUCGGGUUGUAAAGCUCUGUUAAUCGGGACGAAAGGCCUUCUUGCGAAUAGUUAGAAGGAUUGACGGUACCGGAAUAGAAAGCCACGGCUAACUACGUG